CCCAACCCUGGCCUCUCUUUCCCCUUUAUUCUCUUUCUUCUCUUCGCUCUACCCAACUGCUGCCCGGCGCUCGACUAGCGAUCCAUCGCCCUAACGCUGCUCGAACGGCCAUCCCUCCACCGAACCACCACCACCUAUCUCGCAGGUACGAAAGCUGAUGCAAUGUAUUUUCACUACCCACCAUGGCUGCAAAACUCAUUUAUGGUCAAUCUCCACAUAUGAAAAGUCCCUCCACAGUGCCAACAUGUUGCAUGUUGCAAUUGCCUUAUCCGAAAUAUUUACGCCUUUUGCACACAUGAUCUGUUGGGGAAUAUGAUCACGAUAUGCCCGGGCAUUUGGCAAUUA
Magnolia sinica is the source of this 345-nucleotide long non-coding RNA. RefSeq lists it as uncharacterized. The transcript is spliced from 2 exons. NCBI's taxonomy places the organism in Eukaryota, Viridiplantae, Streptophyta, Magnoliopsida, Magnoliales, Magnoliaceae. The record is from RefSeq and is a predicted model, not a curated record.